CCCUAGCCCCGAUAGGAGUGGAAAUCCUUUUGCUUGCCAAAACGCAGUGACGGCAAUCAAAAGAUUGAAACGAAUAGCGGGAAAAAGC
RNAcentral lists this small RNA (88 nucleotides) under Flavobacterium caeni. RNAcentral describes it as "Flavo-1 RNA". It matches the Rfam family "Flavo-1 RNA". Lineage: Bacteria; Pseudomonadati; Bacteroidota; Flavobacteriia; Flavobacteriales; Flavobacteriaceae. The record is from Rfam by way of RNAcentral.